RNAcentral lists this long non-coding RNA (1243 nucleotides) under Gossypium barbadense (sea-island cotton). RNAcentral's name for it is "long non-coding RNA (GBAR_LNC011017)". The record is from RNAcentral. Lineage: Eukaryota; Viridiplantae; Streptophyta; Magnoliopsida; Malvales; Malvaceae.
AUUGGAACGCGCCAAGAAAGUAGAAGGAUCCCAUGCACAAAUAGACCAUCCGGACAAAAUGCGCGGAUCCUCCGUGGGCGCGGGUCGGGUCACAUUCGGGUCAAAUGAAACGGUGCCGUUUCAGCACUUAGACCACCCACCCAAAACGCUGUCGUUUUGUGAGUGUAUAUAAGGCCCAAUUUUUGUUACAAAAAUCAUUUUAGCCUUCAAAAUAAUAAAAAAACUGAAACAAUCCCUUAAACUCUCUCUCCCUCCUCCAUUUUCUCAUUUCGGCUAGGGCUUUAACACCCAUCAUCGCCGCCAUCGUCGUGGCCUUUUGUGGCCGCCGUAGUUCCCACCGUAGACGGUGGUUAAGGGUAUGCGAAAAGGGGCUUUCCACCUCUGUUCAAGGCGUCCAAGAGUUUAUGAGGAUAGACCCCUUUUUAUUUCCCUUUUGAAUCGGUCUCAAUCACGGAGCAGAGGCUCCGGCGACGCGAUUCCAGGCUUCGGUAAGUCCCCUCCCUUCUCUUUAUUUCUAUUUAUUUUCGGAUGUCUAAAGAAAUAAAAAUCAAAAGAAAACAGAAUAUAUGAAUUUUAGAACUUAAAACGAAAAUGGAAACGAAAUCAACCUUUUAGUUUUCUUGCUAUUAUGUUUGCUUAAUGUCUCCCCCUUUUACAAUCGGUUUCUUUUUUUAAUUCGAAAAAAAAACCCCCUUACAAAUGAUAGAUUUUGGCUUUUUAAAGCCGAUCUACCAAACAUUCAUUCCAUAUUUUUUUGUUUUUGUUCCUUUGUUUAUUUUUUUUCCAUCAUUCGCAUGCUUUCUCUUGCUGUUGUUUUUGUCUCUGUUGCAGGUGCCAUGCGACGCGUGGAAGAGGCGACGGUCAGGGCAUGCAUGGGAGGAGCGACGGCUGCAAUGCUUUGGUGGCUAGGGUUCUUUUUUAGCAGAAAAUAUUUUGUGGGCUAGGGUUUCUAAGCUUUUAGGUUUAUUGGGCUUCUUUUGGGUUUUAAAAUUUUUUUGGCUGGUGUGGGUUUUGCAAAUAGACAUUUAUUUUAUUUGGGUUUUGUUACUUUAAUGGGUUUGGGCAAUUUGUCUUGGGUUGUUUAACAUUGUAAAUGGACUUGAAAGUUGGUUAUGUGGAUUUUAUUUUUUGGCUUAUUUGUUUGGGCCAAAAUUGGCCAUUAUAAUUUAGAAUGGAAGUAUCAAUUUGUUGGAGAGAAAAAAUAAAAUAGUGGAGAUUCAAUUUAAGUUAAACAUCGUAUCAG